AUCUGGGGCCAUACCACAAUGAACUUACCGCAUCCCGUCCGAUCUGCGCAGUCAAACAUUGUAGGGCCGAGUCAGUAGUGCGGUGGGGGACCACGAAAAAAAAGAGGAUUCUGUCCCGAACC
Molecule: non-coding RNA, 122 nt
Organism: Melampsora larici-populina 98AG31
Lineage: Eukaryota; Fungi; Basidiomycota; Pucciniomycetes; Pucciniales; Melampsoraceae
Source: Rfam